CGUCACAGCAACCUUGUUUAUAAAGCAGUAUGACUGAGGUCACUCCAUGAGCCCUUCUGACUAGUGCGCCAGGAGGGCAGGAAGGCAGAGGUGGACACGUCACAGUGGCCUCCGUGAGGUCUGCUGGCUCUGCUGUCCCCAACAGGGCAGGGUGCACCACCUCGCCCUCCCAGGCUGAGGGGCCUCGGAGUUCCUGACACAGGCACUGCCAGGUCAAAGCUGCACUCUGCUGAACACAAGCUGGUCCCCAGGGCCAUGUGCCUGGACACCCAGGCGGUCUCAAGCUCGGCCGGCCCACCCCUCCACCCCGCAGGGGCUCCGCUGCCACCGAGGCUCCCGACUCUGAACCUGCCCUGCCUCUCCCUCCUUGCACAUCCAGAGCGGCCCUGGACACCAGACAGACAGACCGGGACACCAGGGCCACACUGGCCAAGGCCUCAGAGAGCGGCUGCCCCGCUGCUUCUCCCCCGAGGACUUCUGCAAGAAGCCUAGGCCUGCAGGACUCCCUUCCCAGGGACACGAAGAGACCAGCUCCGCCACAGCACGACCAUGGCACCCCACAUCCCUGCCACUCCCUCCUGGAGCUGUGUCCACUUGGAACUCAAGUCCCCAAGGCUGUGUCCUCUGGAGUUGGCCUCGUCCCCCACACCAGCAUUGCCGCCUCCCCAAGCAACGCUGGCUCCCCUUGGCCACAGGCUCGCCCAGCACAGUAGGCCUCUGUGGCCAUGACAACACCACCAGCUGAAGCCACCCGUAUGGGCAGGUCCAGCCUCAGGAGUGCCAUGCGCCUGUGACCACAGCACUCCGGAGGCUGAGAUCCUA
RNAcentral lists this long non-coding RNA (822 nucleotides) under Cavia porcellus (domestic guinea pig). RNAcentral's name for it is "lncRNA (ENSCPOG00000039914.1)". Lineage: Eukaryota; Metazoa; Chordata; Mammalia; Rodentia; Caviidae. The record is from RNAcentral.